AUGCUCGCGUGGGCACAUAUACUAAAACUGGAAGGAUCCGGAGAAGGUGAGCAUGGCCCUGCCCGAGGCUGACACGCAAAGUCAUACUUUCACGAAUGAA
Molecule: small nuclear RNA, 100 nt
Filed under: Echinops telfairi (small Madagascar hedgehog)
Lineage: Eukaryota; Metazoa; Chordata; Mammalia; Afrosoricida; Tenrecidae
Source: RNAcentral